RNAcentral lists this ribosomal RNA (89 nucleotides) under Bacillus velezensis. RNAcentral's name for it is "partial 16S ribosomal RNA". It matches the Rfam family "Bacterial small subunit ribosomal RNA", at positions 1 to 86 of the family's 1533-position model. Lineage: Bacteria; Bacillati; Bacillota; Bacilli; Caryophanales; Bacillaceae. The record is from RNAcentral.
UUUAUCGGAGAGUUUGAUCCUGGCUCAGGACGAACGCUGGCGGCGUGCCUAAUACAUGCAAGUCGAGCGGACAGAUGGGAGCUUGCUCC